Molecule: transfer RNA, 71 nt
Filed under: Exostoma gaoligongense
Lineage: Eukaryota; Metazoa; Chordata; Actinopteri; Siluriformes; Sisoridae
Description: tRNA-Tyr
Rfam family: tRNA
About the family: Transfer RNA (tRNA) molecules are approximately 80 nucleotides in length. Their secondary structure includes four short double-helical elements and three loops (D, anti-codon, and T loops).
Source: RNAcentral
GGUAGGAUGGCCGAGAGUUCAGGCGGUGGGUUGUAGCCCCACAAACAAGGGUUUAAGUCCUUUUCCUAUCA